Molecule: long non-coding RNA, 201 nt
Organism: Sebastes umbrosus (honeycomb rockfish)
Lineage: Eukaryota; Metazoa; Chordata; Actinopteri; Perciformes; Sebastidae
Exons: 3
Source: RefSeq, a predicted model, not a curated record
AAGUCAAACAUGAGGGGGGAUGGUAAACCUUGUCUCUGUUCAAAGAUAGUCUCUGGUGUCGGAUGUGAAUGUCCUCCUUGAUCUUUCUCCAGCUGUCGACUCGUGGAUGGAUUAUUGAACGGGUCUACGGGGCACAGGCCCAGGGGGUCGACUACAGUCAACAGUUUCUGGUCUUUACCAAACAAUUCAUCCAGAAAAUAC